GACAGAGGUGCCAAGCGUUAGGCGGAAUCACUGGGCUUAAAGCGUGUGUAGGUGGAAGCGUAAGUACCUUGUGAAAUCCCACGGCUCAACCGUGGAACUGCUUGGUAUACUGCGUUUCUUGAGCCAACUAGGGGCUAUCGGAACAAGUGGUGGAGCGGUGAAGUGCGUAGAUAUCACUUGGAACGCCAAUGGUGAAAACAGAUAGCUGGGGUUGUGCUGACACUGAGACACGAAAGCCAGGGGAGCAAACGGG
RNAcentral lists this ribosomal RNA (253 nucleotides) under uncultured bacterium. Its description in RNAcentral is "partial 16S ribosomal RNA". It matches the Rfam family "Bacterial small subunit ribosomal RNA", at positions 524 to 776 of the family's 1533-position model. The record is from RNAcentral.